Molecule: ribosomal RNA, 253 nt
Filed under: uncultured bacterium
Lineage: Bacteria
Description: partial 16S ribosomal RNA
Rfam family: Bacterial small subunit ribosomal RNA
Source: RNAcentral
UACGUAGGGGGCAAGCGUUGUCCGGAAUCAUUGGGCGUAAAGAGCGUGUAGGCGGCCAGAUAAGUCCGCUGUGAAAUCUCGAGGCUCAACUUCGAGCUGUCAGUGGAAACUGUCUGGCUAGAGUCCGGAAGAGGAGAAUGGAAUUCCUGGUGUAGCGGUGAAAUGCGCAGAUAUCAGGAAGAACACCCGUGGCGAAGGCGGUUCUCUGGGACGGUACUGACGCUGAGACGCGAAAGCGUGGGGAGCGAACAGG